CUACGGGCGGCUCCAGUGGGGAAUAUUGCACAAUGGGCGCAAGCCUGAUGCAGCCAUGCCGCGUGUAUGAAGAAGGCCUUCGGGUUGUAAAGUACUUUCAGCGGGGAGGAAGGGAGUAAAGUUAAUACCUUUGCUCAUUGACGUUACCCGCAGAAGAAGCACCGGCUAACUCCGUGCCAGCAGCCGCGGUAAUACGGAGGGUGCAAGCGUUAAUCGGAAUUACUGGGCGUAAAGCGCACGCAGGCGGUUUGUUAAGUCAGAUGUGAAAUCCCCGGGCUCAACCUGGGAACUGCAUCUGAUACUGGCAGGCUUGAGUCUCGUAGAGGGGGGUAGAAUUCCAGGUGUAGCGGUGAAAUGCGUAGAGAUCUGGAGGAAUACCGGUGGCGAAGGCGGCCCCCUGGACGAAGACUGACGCUCAGGUGCGAAAGCGUGGGGAGCAAACAGGAUUAGAUACCCCCGUAGUC
Molecule: ribosomal RNA, 464 nt
Filed under: uncultured bacterium
Lineage: Bacteria
Description: partial 16S ribosomal RNA
Rfam family: Bacterial small subunit ribosomal RNA
Source: RNAcentral